RNAcentral lists this ribosomal RNA (52 nucleotides) under Escherichia coli 2-011-08_S3_C1. Its description in RNAcentral is "partial 23S ribosomal RNA". The record is from RNAcentral. Lineage: Bacteria; Pseudomonadati; Pseudomonadota; Gammaproteobacteria; Enterobacterales; Enterobacteriaceae.
CAUGGCUCAGAUUGAACGCUGGCGGCAGGCCUAACACAUGCAAGUCGAACGG